AGUGAACGCUGGCGGUAGGCCUAACACAUGCAAGUCGAACGGCAGCACAGUAAGAGCUUGCUCUUACGGGUGGCGAGUGGCGGACGGGUGAGGAAUACAUCGGAAUCUACUUUUUCGUGGGGGAUAACGUAUGGAAACUUACGCUAAUACCUCAUACGACCUACGGGUGAAAGCAGGGGAUCUUCGGACCUUGCGCGUUUGGAUGAGCCGAUGUCGGAUUAGCUAGUUGGCGGGGUAAAGGCCCACCAAGGCGACGAUCCGUAGCUGGUCUGAGAGGAUGAUCAGCCACACUGGAACUGAGACACGGUCCAGACUCCUACGGGAGGCAGCAGUGGGGAAUAUUGGACAAAGGGCGCAAGCCUGAUCCAGCCAUACCGCGUGGGUGAAGAAGGCCUUCGGGUUGUAAAGCCCUUUUGUUGGGAAAGAAAAGCAGCAGGUUAAUACCCCGCUGUUCUGACGGUACCCAAAGAAUAAGCACCGGCUAACUUCGUG
This 492-nucleotide ribosomal RNA is filed under the name uncultured bacterium. RNAcentral's name for it is "partial 16S ribosomal RNA". It matches the Rfam family "Bacterial small subunit ribosomal RNA", at positions 29 to 507 of the family's 1533-position model. The record is from RNAcentral.